GAGCGAGCGGCUCCCCCAGGGCUGCGGAGGGCGGGCAGCCUCUCGGCGUGUUUCUCUUCCUCCUCGCCGUGUGAGCCCGCGUCCCGUGCUGCUCGGCGGGGCAGCCGCGGCGGCUCGGCGGAGGAGGAGCGGCGCUGCGGGACACCUGGGGCAGGUGGCAGCGUACGUCAGAUGCUGUGUUUGAAGUAAAGCUGAUUGAGAUACUAUGAAGACACUGGGAAAGUAAUGAAUUCUUGCAGAGAAACUGGAGUUUUCCCCCUCUUCAGUGGAAGCAGAUUGAGUCUCAGUUCCCGGAGCUGCGGAGGGCAGAGCUGGACUUUGUGUGUGUGUGACAAAUGUUUCCUGAGGGCCAGUGCUCACCAACUUGCAGAAGAGCUGGUUAGCCAAGACCCUGCUGUGCUGUGGCUGGGAUGGAGAUCAGCUCCAGCUCUUUCCCCAAGGGUUCAGACCUGUGUUUCCUGCUGCAAGAAGCAGGCUGCCAAGGUAGAGGCUGUUGAGCAGGACUCAUGUUCCCUUUCUUCAGUAAAUGGAUGUCUUGGUGCAGAGGG
Molecule: long non-coding RNA, 548 nt
Organism: Melospiza melodia melodia
Lineage: Eukaryota; Metazoa; Chordata; Aves; Passeriformes; Passerellidae
Exons: 3
Source: RefSeq, a predicted model, not a curated record